Molecule: transfer RNA, 64 nt
Filed under: uncultured Isochrysis
Lineage: Eukaryota; Haptophyta; Isochrysidales
Source: RNAcentral
CUGCUCCUUGCUCCUUGCCGGACGUGUACAAGUGACUCUCCGCCUACGCGUACUACGUACUGCA